UAAUAAAUAAAUCGUGGUUGUUACCACUUUUCGUGGUGACGCUUCGGAAUUGAGUCGUCUUACCUUCGGUUAAGUGACUUAAAAUUUUUUCAUACGAUUUCGAAACGUAUUUAAUGUAUUACGUACGUUCACGAAUAUCGAAUGUUUUAUUAGGUGCGGUCAUUUUCAUGAAUUCGCGUCUAUAAUUUUUUUU
Molecule: unclassified non-coding RNA, 193 nt
Filed under: uncultured Glomus
Lineage: Eukaryota; Fungi; Glomeromycota; Glomeromycetes; Glomerales; Glomeraceae
Description: partial internal transcribed spacer 2
Source: RNAcentral